RNAcentral lists this ribosomal RNA (426 nucleotides) under Triticum aestivum (bread wheat). Its description in RNAcentral is "partial small subunit ribosomal RNA". The record is from RNAcentral. Lineage: Eukaryota; Viridiplantae; Streptophyta; Magnoliopsida; Poales; Poaceae.
AUGGUGAGCGCGGGCCGAAGGCCGGCCUCGAUGUCGGGCGGCAAAAUUUCUCGGAGCAGCAUUACAACGACAUGGAUACGACCAUGGAGUCCUCCAUUGGGAAGGUUUUUGCUCCCUAGCUUUGAAUGCUGCCCAUGGUGGAGGAGGCCACCUCAAUUGGAGAACCAACACUAUGUGAGCCCCAAAGGAAACCAUUGGUCGGUUGAUUCCGGGAUGGGAGUUCUCAAUUGGCUUCAGCUUUGGAGAAACCGCGGCAUUGGCUUUGCUUGUCAUUCUACCAUCUUUUCCUUCUCAUUUAGUACUACUUUAUUUAUGAAGAAAAGACAUCCAAAGGGCAUCUCAGAUCUGGUAAUGCGGAAAACAGGAGUUGAUACAAUGGAAAGACAACUAGACGCAGUACCAUUACGCUUGUUUGUGUUAUUGUAA